This 254-nucleotide ribosomal RNA is filed under the name uncultured bacterium. RNAcentral describes it as "partial 16S ribosomal RNA". It matches the Rfam family "Bacterial small subunit ribosomal RNA", at positions 524 to 776 of the family's 1533-position model. The record is from RNAcentral.
UACGGGGGGGGGCAAGCGUUGUUCGGAAUUACUGGGCGUAAAGGGCGCGUAGGCGGCUCGCUAAGUCGGGUGUGAAAACUCUGGGCUCAACCCAGAGCCUGCAUUCGAAACUGACGAGCUAGAGUUCUGGAGGGGAAAGCGGAAUUCCUGGUGUAGCAGUGAAAUGCGUAGAUAUCAGGAGGAACACCGGUGGCGAAGGCGGCUUUCUGGACAGAAACUGACGCUGAGGCGCGAAAGCUAGGGGAGCAAACAGG